AUUGAACGCUGGCGGCAGGCUUAACACAUGCAAGUCGAGCGGGGGGAGGUAGCUUGCUACCGGACCUAGCGGCGGACGGGUGAGUAAUGCUUAGGAAUCUGCCUAUUAGUGGGGGACAACAUCUCGAAAGGGAUGCUAAUACCGCAUACGUCCUACGGGAGAAAGCAGGGGAUCUUCGGACCUUGCGCUAAUAGAUGGGCCUAAGUCGGAUUAGCUAGGGGGUGGGGUAAAGGCCUACCAAGGCGAAGAGCUGUAGCGGGUCUGAGAGGAUGAUCCGCCACACUGGGACUGAGACACGGCCCAGACUCCGACGGGAGGCAGCAGUGGGGAAUAUUGGACAAUGGGGGGAACCCUGAUCCAGCCAUGCCGCGUGUGUGAAGAAGGCCUUAUGGUUGUAAAGCACUUUAAGCGAGGAGGAGGCUACUUUAGUUAAUACCUAGAGAUAGUGGACGUUACUCGCAGAAUAAGCACCGGCUAACUCUGUGCCAGCAGCCGCCGUAA
Molecule: ribosomal RNA, 501 nt
Filed under: uncultured bacterium
Lineage: Bacteria
Description: partial 16S ribosomal RNA
Rfam family: Bacterial small subunit ribosomal RNA
Source: RNAcentral